GCCUCCUUCGACUAGCGGUUAGGUCGCGGCCCUUUCAAGGCCGAAACAGGGGUUCGACUCCCCUAGGAGGCA
RNAcentral lists this transfer RNA (72 nucleotides) under Elusimicrobiota bacterium. RNAcentral describes it as "Elusimicrobia bacterium (groundwater metagenome) tRNA-Glu". It matches the Rfam family "tRNA". From Rfam's summary of the family: Transfer RNA (tRNA) molecules are approximately 80 nucleotides in length. The record is from RNAcentral. Lineage: Bacteria; Pseudomonadati; Elusimicrobiota.